UGGUAAUGCCGGAUGCUCCAGUUGAUCGCAUGGUCUUCUGGGAAAGCUUUCGCGGUAUGGGAUGGGGUCGCGUCCUAUCAGCUUGACGGCGGGGUAACGGCCCACCGUGGCUUCGACGGGUAGCCGGCCUGAGAGGGCGACCGGCCACAUUGGGACUGAGAUACGGCCCAGACUCCUACGGGAGGCAGCAGUGGGGAAUAUUGCACAAUGGGCGCAAGCCUGAUGCAGCGACGCCGCGUGAGGGAUGGAGGCCUUCGGGUUGUAAACCUCUUUUAUCGGGGAGCAAGCGUGAGUGAGUUUACCCGUUGAAUAAGCACCGGCUAACUACGUGCCAGCAGCCGCGGUAAUACGUAGGGUGCAAGCGUUAUCCGGAAUUAUUGGGCGUAAAGGGCUCGUAGGCGGUUCGUCGCGUCCGGUGUGAAAGUCCAUCGCUUAACGGUGGAUCCGCGCCGGGUACGGGCGGGCUUGAGUGCGGUAGGGGAGACUGGAAUUCCCGGUGUAACGGUGGAAUGUGUAGAUAUCGGGA
RNAcentral lists this ribosomal RNA (526 nucleotides) under Bifidobacterium longum subsp. suillum. RNAcentral describes it as "bacterial SSU rRNA". It matches the Rfam family "Bacterial small subunit ribosomal RNA", at positions 161 to 702 of the family's 1533-position model. Lineage: Bacteria; Bacillati; Actinomycetota; Actinomycetes; Bifidobacteriales; Bifidobacteriaceae. The record is from RNAcentral.